CGGUAUGAAUGGUAUGUAGCUGGGCAGUUUUCCAAAACCCACCCCGCGGCUGCAUAUCAGGAAGACUGCUAUAAACAAGCGUGCAUGUGUGCAUGGAGCCUGAUAAGUCAAUGAGGAAAGAUAGACACGGAACAGCAACCCAGCCCGAGGAAAUAUGCAGAGCCGGGUAAGCAGAACGAUCUCCAGUGUGCAAAUGAAGAAAUGGAGUCUGAGGUUAAGGUGCUUGCCUGAGAUUACACAGGUGCUUCUUGAUCAUUGUGACAUGUGAUGACACUCUAACUCUCUGGCUAAGGAAUCAUGGUGGACCUUAGAACACUGUGCCGCCCUCCAACUUGACAUCUCCACAGUUCAAGUGUCCCACACGCUAGCUGGGGUUUGGGAAGAAAGGAGAUUUAUGAGACUGUAUGUCCAAGCAAGUGGAAAGUGCGCAAUUCAAAACUCUCCAGCUUUCUAGAAACACAUCUACUUAGAAAAUCAACCAUACCCACAGAAAUAUUUCCAACAUUCUAACUCACAUAUCCUACUUGAUGAGAUGAUUGUCUGGUUUUAUUUAAGCUGAGAUCUAUUUCCUCCCCAAAGGGUGGUGUGUUCUUUGUCUUAUGCCAAGAAAACCAUAAGAAAAAUGCUGACCUAUGAAGGUUACACAUCAUGCUUAAUCACUACUUUAAAUUAAAAUAACAUAAAAUAAAGCAUUCAUUGGGACACUUAGGCAGAACAUACCUUCCCAAGCAACAGACACACCUACUGAGACACCUGAAAUGUCUGAGGAGUCUGGUUCCCAGCUGCAUAUCAAGAGCCAAACCAUGACAUCAGGUCUUGAGCUGUCCUGGAGAAACUUAGGGCAGGGCUGUCAUAGCAGUGUCCACCAACCAGUCUUCCCAAGAGUUGACUUCAUGUUUCAGUACACCAAACCCUUACUAAUAGAUGCCAAGGUUUGCAAUGACCACAGUGAUAAGUCUCCUCCUCUUCCCCACCCUCCAUUCAUGACUUUGGGAUGGAAUACCUGCCUACUUUCCAGUAUUCCAAAAGCUUGCUCCUCAAAGACUGCUUAAAGGUAAGUAUUUAAGCCAGUGGUCGUGGUGAUGGUGGGCGUCAGAACAGGUUUUCUUCUCUCGGCCAAAUGAAAAUCUCUCAAAAACCAUUUCUUACUAUUUUCUGGUCUCUUCCAGUGGGGUAAAGCAGAGAGCACGAGAAGGCCAGACAACAGACCAAGAGAAAAAGAUCACCACUGGAAAGGGGGUUUUAGUAAAGGACUUUCAACAAACUAAAUGGGUUUUCUUAAAGCCUAGGUAUUCCAUAAUACCUUUUGAAGACACACUGUCUCAAAACACUGUCUAAUUCUACCACAAUCCAUUGCUAAUGGGAUAAUUUACCUCUUCUUGUAGGCCUCUGGCAAGAUCUUUCCCUUGUAUUAGAUCCUUCAGUGGCUCUUAGAAUUGGACCCUUACCUCAUUUUCUGGGCUCAUAUCAACCAUCAUCCCCCAGUGCAGUGGUUCUCAGCCAUGGGUAUUUUUGUUCCCCUAAGGGACACUGGCCAAUGUUGGGGAAAGUUUUGGGUUGGCUGGACUGAAGUGGGGGAAAGGGAAUGCUACUGAACAUCCUUCAAAGUGGAAGACGGCCUCUCACUACAAAGAAUUACUUAGCUCAAAUGUUAACAGUGUUGAGAUAUCCUGCUGUACCAAGUCCUUUGUUCUCCAAACAUACCAGACUUUCUCAUAUGCUUUGUGCUUAAACAUAGCCUGUUUCCUUUACCUGGAAUGCCCUGCCCUACUCUAUGUCUAAGAAAUGGCCAUUUAUCAUUCAAGAUCUGACUCAAAAUGUCACCUCCUCUACAGUCCUUUCCAUAUCUCCCAAAGCUGGCUGUUCCUUCUGUACUUGCAGAGUUCCUGGUACGCAUCUCAUUAAAACACUAGCCAUACUACCCCCAAGCCUGUCACCUGCUGCAGGCAAAACCUAAGACUCAUUCAUUGUUCAUCCCUGAGUGUCCAACUGUAAUCAAUUGUUACUUCCUCAGUCACUCAAGGAAUAAAUAGAAAAGUUGCAGAUGCACUUAAGACUCUCCUACAAGGACAUCUAAGAGACAACAUUGUCCUCAACAUCAGAAACAACAACAGCAAAUAUUUAUCAAAUGCCUGUAAUGUAGAUAGGCACUAUAUUAAGCACUGGUGUACAUAUGAACUCAUGUUCAUCCUUUUAACAACCCUGUGAGGUAGGUACUCUUAUCAGCAUUUUUCAGGAAAGGAAACUGAGGACAAGAGAGGUUAAGCCACUUGCCCAAAGUCAUCUGGAAGAGCUGUUAUUUAAACCCGGGUAGUCUGGCUUCAGAACUCAAUUUUCCAACAUUUAUGCCAAGGCAAUUAUACUAACAACCGGUAUUUCAGCCACUCAGAAACUUCUGACAAAUGCAAUGACACAUCUGGAAGGCUAUUACCACCACCUCUUGCGACCCCGCCUAUGAACACUGCUCGCUGGGGUCCCCCGACUCUCCAACCUCUGGGAUGCUUGUGGCAGGAGAAGCAACGUCCUCACAUCGUGGGAAGGCAUUAUGUACCCAGAAGAAUUGUGGUACGGUAAAGAAGACACGAAAGCUGAUGUCCAAAAGUAUCUCUUACCUUG
This is a long non-coding RNA of Mustela lutreola (European mink), 2616 nucleotides long. RefSeq lists it as uncharacterized. The record is from RefSeq and is a predicted model, not a curated record. The transcript has 4 exons. NCBI's taxonomy places the organism in Eukaryota, Metazoa, Chordata, Mammalia, Carnivora, Mustelidae.